UUUGGAAAGAGAGUUAAAAAGUACGUGAAAUUGUUGAAAGGGAAGCGCUUGCGACCAGACUUGCCCGCGGGCGAUCAGCCGGUGUUUUCACCGGUGCACUCGCCCGCGGUCAGGCCAGCAUCGGUUUGGGCGGUCGGAUAAAGUCCCCCGGAACGUAGCUCCUCUCGGGGAGUGUUAUAGCCGGGGGUGCAAUGCGACCCGCCCGGACCGAGGACCGCGCUUCGGCUAGGAUGCUGGCGUAAUGGUCGUAAGCGACCCGUCUUGAAACACGGACCAAGGAGUCUAACAUCUAUGCGAGUGUUUGGGUGUCAAACCCAUGCGCGUAAUGAAAGUGAACGGAGGUGGGAACCCUUAAGGGUGCACCAUCGACCGAUCCUGAUGUCUUCGGAAGGAUUUGAGUAAGAGCAUAGCUGUUGGGACCCGAAAGAUGGUGAACUAUGCCUGAAUAGGGUGAAGCCAGAGGAAACUCUGGUGGAGGCUCGCAGCGGUUCUGACGUGCAAAUCGAUCGUCAAAUUUGGGUAUAGGGGCGAAAGACUAAUCGAACCAUCUGUUACUAGAUGGCAUACGGGCUUUCGGGUUUGAAGUAGUCCCCGUGCGCGGGGGCGACAUCGCCGGUCUCCCGGGGACGCCUGUGGGCUACCCGAAGUGAGCUUCGCGCUCAUCCACAGACUAAGUGGCGGUGGCCGCGCCUGGAACGCGGUUAGGAUAUAGC
This 713-nucleotide ribosomal RNA is filed under the name Acarospora sp. EH-2022k. Its description in RNAcentral is "partial large subunit ribosomal RNA". It matches the Rfam family "Eukaryotic large subunit ribosomal RNA", at positions 375 to 1443 of the family's 3401-position model. The record is from RNAcentral. Lineage: Eukaryota; Fungi; Ascomycota; Lecanoromycetes; Acarosporales; Acarosporaceae.